CUGAAUAUACCGGUUCUCGUUCGAUCACCGAAAUCAAGCAUCAUUGGGCGCGGUCAGUAGUUUGGAUGGGUGAUCACCUGGGAACACCGCAAGU
Molecule: ribosomal RNA, 94 nt
Filed under: Caerostris darwini
Lineage: Eukaryota; Metazoa; Arthropoda; Arachnida; Araneae; Araneidae
Source: RNAcentral